GAUGUGGGUCCGGGGGUCUUCUGCUGCGGAUUAAAGCGACUCCCAGCCUUUUAUACCCGCCCCCUGCUCCCCAUUGGCUCCUAUUUACAGUCCAUUCAUUCCAUUGGACAGAGGGCCACGUGAUCCGUCUCUCACCCCCAUGUCUCUCUCUCUCUGUGCUGUCUCAGGUGCAGUUCCUGCCUGCUGCAGUGCCUCUGAGCCAGGCUGAUCAGGAGGGUGAAGACCAGUGCACCUUUCAAUUUACUGCCACUUGAUAUCGUCACCAAAAACCGAGACGAUGCAUCACAUCAGACUGUAUCCCCAUCGAUUAUGUUCCCCAACACAAGACCCUGAACAUGAUGCUUCAGUGUUCCUUCAGCAUCUUUAAUGUGACACCUGAGACUUAAGAUGGCAGCACCCGGGCUGGAAGUCUUUGUUAACAUCAUCCUGAUCACUGCCUCCUUAUUGGACUCCAAUAUGAUUUCAUUAACUUACAACAAUCAAGCAAUACAGUUGAGACUUUCCUUUCAGAUCACUACAAAAUGCCACUAUUCAGGGCAUGUGUGAAAGUUUUCGUUUGGUAAAAGGAGAAUAAAGAGAGGCUCAGUUUAAAAACAGCCCUGAACUCAACAUGAAGUCACAGAAGAUGCUAAAAAGGACUAAAUCUGCUGAAAUUUUUUUUGUCAAAUUCACUAAGAUGGUGCAAAACAAGCUACAGUCAAAACAAGAAUUACCCUAAAACCAGUCUGUAGCCAGUCCAAAACCAAAUCCAAAAUCAACACAAAAAUGCAUCCAAAAUUCAUUUAAAAUUAACUCCAAAACAGUCAACAAACCUAUCCUAAAUCUGAUUCGAAAACCAAGACUAAACCUGGUCCAAAACAAGACUAAAAUCAAUUCCAAAAACAAAUCUAAAAUCCCCUCUACACCAGCCUAAACCCAGCCUAAAACAAUUUCAAAAAACAAUUUAACAUCAAUCCCAAAUCAGUCUAAAACCAGUCCAAAGCUGAGCCCAAAAUUAGCUCAUAAUCAGUCCAAAUCCAAAAAUCAGCACAAACCAAGUCCAAAAGCAAGCCUGAAAUCAAAUCUCAAGUCAUACCCAGUCUAAAACCAGUCCUAAACACAUCCAAAAACCAGUGCAUAAUCAAGCCCAAAAACUAGUUCAGAACAAAUCGACAAUCAACCUAAAACAAGUCCAAAGCUAAGCCCAAAACGGACUCAAAACCAGCUCAAAACUGAAUCCAAAACUGGCUCAAAAAAGUCCAUAAACUGGUCCAAAACCACAUCUAAAAUCAACCCCAAACCAGCCCGAAACAGGUCCAAAAACCUAUUUAAAACCAAAAUCAACCCACACCAAAUCUAAAAUCAACCUAAACCCAGUCGAACACAGAGUGCUAAUUUCACCAUCAUGGCAUCAGUCUGGACUAAAUGAGGCAAACUAAGUCCACCAGAGGACUGUGGAAAGCUCUCCGAGAUGCUAAACAAUGUUCCUGCACAGUAGCUUAUAUUGAAGCUAUUUACAGAAUAGAUGUUAUAUUUGUAGCUCUGUUACUGGUAACAAAGAUUGAUUGAAUUAUCAGCUGAGUGAUCGAACACUGCAGCAGGACGACGACAAACUGCCCUCAGUGGGGCGGACGGGGUUUCUGUGGUGACGGAGCACUUUCUCCUGCAGCUUUAAAUUAUUCAUCACCUGCAGGAGGCUGCACGUGUGUGUGUAUGCGUGUGUGUUCUACAUCUCCAGCUAUCUUUGUGAGAACCAAUUUGAGUUUUAGUGACGACAUUUUGGCCAGUCUUCACCUUUUCGCCUUCUAUCACAUCUGAAGAGAACUGCAUAUCUUAAAACGUGUCUGCUGGCUUCUACUGACUGCCAGAGAUGUGGACACAGAUCUACUGCGAUCUAAGGUUCAGGAGUCCAAGGUUAAGGAACAUUUACUGAGUAGAAUGGAGGAUCAGCAGACAAUCAAGAGAUCUCAACUCUUAAUAGACCUACUUGAAUCCAACUGACAGCCAUGAAGCUUAAAUGACGUCCUCUGAAAUCUGUGGAUCUGCUGGGAUCUUAUGGACUGAUCAUCUAGGAUACUGGACUCUUAGGAGAUCUACUGUGUUGAUUGGAGUCCAGAGAAAGCGACUCUUGCAGGAUUAUUUGUGGUUAGGUGUUGGUCAAGAACAAAAAAUGAAACUAGCUUCUUGCUGUUAAUAUAUUGGUUAAAUAUUAAACAGAGGAUUCCAGAUGCUGAUACAAGGAGACGGAGGACACUUCUGCUGCUCAGUUUGUACUCAGUGACCUCAGUCAGAUGGGUUUUUUUGUGUUGAGGUGUAUUAUUGUCCCUUGUUCACUGGCGUAUCUUGCUGAGUUGUUACUGCAGCGGCUCACUCCUCGCUGUACUGCAGCCUGAGGGAUUCCUCCUUAAAGCUGCAGAUUACAUAAUCUGCCUGCUGCUGGAUUAAAGCAGUCAGAUCACACAGAGGAAGGGUUUUAUCAGAGGGAAGGCUGUGGUUUGGCCCCACCCACUCCUCUGGUGAUAUUACGUACUGGUUUGAAAGGCAUAAAAGAGAUUGGAAACAUAACAUGAUGUCAUGAUGAUAGAGGUUCAACAGUUUCACAUUGAGGCCUCAGUUGCUGCUCCUCGUCAUCAGACCAACAAUGAAACACUGGGCUGGAAUGGAUCUGCUGCAGGGAUCUACUGGGAUCUACUAGACUCCCAAAAGAUCUCCAGGAUCAUAUGGAUUUUGUAGACUAUAUUGUACUGUGCUGUAUUCUACUGGGCUCCACUGAAUCUUAAAGAGAUCCACUGGAUGCACUACUUGGCUGCUCAGAGGUUUACUGGUUGGUGGAGGUUGGUUGCAGUGUACUGAAUGAGAAUACAGAAACCUAUUUAUUGAUUUUUUUUAAAGCCUUCUGCCUAUGGAAUUAACUGAAUCUAACCCUGCACUUCACUGUAAUUAUACAAGAUUUAAAAUGUUUCCUGCUGUCUACAAAAGAACUAGAUAGAUCUACUGAGGUCUACUGGUUCCAAGUUGAUCCCAUAUUGUAUACUGGACCUAAAAUGAUCUGUUAGAAUCCAGUAGCCUGUUGAACUAAACAGAUCAACUGCUACCCAGUAAACAUCCUACAGUGAUCUGUUGGGAUCUGCUUGAUUUUAAGAGAUCUUUUGCAAUCGAAAACUGAUUUGAAAAGUUGAGGUUGUAUUGAUCUACUGGACAGUAAAGUCUUGAUCAAAGCAUUUCAAGUGGUGUCUUCUGAAGCUAAAUAAAUUGGUAUCCAGUGAAUUCUGAAAAAAUCUGCUGGGAUAUACUGGGAUAUAAAGACUGCAGGGAUCUGCUGGACUUUUGGAAGGGUUUUUUUUGUGGAUUAGCUAGACUUUGUAGACUGCAUAGAUCAAAUUGUACUGUGUGGAAUUGUACUGGGCUCAAUAGAAAUCUGUAGAUAUCUACUGGACUCAACUGAGUCUUAAAGCAAUCCACUGGAUCCACUACUGGGCAGAUGUAGCAUGAUUGCUGUACUCUAAAAUCUAAAUAUGUAGACAGAGAAAUUACUGAUUCAUAAAGCAUUCUAACUUUGGAUUCAUCUUGGACUAACUUUGGACUUCAUUGUAACUGUACAAGAUUUUAAAUGUUUCCAGCAGUCUACUAAAAGCUAGAUAGAACCAUGGAGAUCUGCUGGAUCCAAGUUGAUCUAAUCUGAAAAACUGAAGCAUUUAGGAUCUGUCAGGAUCCACAUGUCUGUUUAAAUCUAAAAGAUGAAGUGAUGUCUGGUAAACAUCCUAAAGUGAUCUGUUAGGAUCUCCUGGACUUUAGGAAACCUGUCCACGGGAAUCUGAAUAAGUUUAUACAAAGUUGUAGAGACUUGCACAUCUGAUUAAAUUUGCUAAAUUCUGAAAUCUACAAGAUGUAAGGAAGAUCUAGUGGCACCAACAGGAAUGUUCUGAUUGCCCCUGAACAGUAAAAUCUGGAUCAAAACAUUUCAACUGGGGUCCACUAAACACAGAUUGCCUGGUGUCCAACGAAAUCUAAAGCAAUCUGCUAUGAUAUACUAAAAUAUAAAGAUGACCACGGGGGUCUGCUGGACUGUUGAGGGAUCAGCUGAGAUCUACUGGACUCUGGAUUCUUGUACUAUAGACUAUCAGCCAGAAGCCACUUUAUCUUACACAAAUCUGUAGACCUCCACUGGAAUACAGUGCAACAUACAGUGAUCUCAAGCAAUCCUCCUGGUCUACUAAAGGGAUCUAUUGUCAUCCCCUUGUCCUUGCAGUGACUUUUUGAGACCCAACAGAUUCUUGAAGGAUCUACUUGACUGUGAAAAGACCUGCUCAUGUGUGAAUUUAUUGUGUAGUCACAUGACUAUCUCCCCUCAGAAGUAGUUGUUCCUUCCUCCAGGCUACCCACGAUGCCACGCUGCUGCUGCUGAUGUGUCAUAUGAUGCUUGGGAUGCAUUUGCUCCACAGCAGAAGAAUAAAGAGCUUUAAGAGGGCGA
This is a long non-coding RNA of Acanthochromis polyacanthus (spiny chromis), 4450 nucleotides long. RefSeq lists it as uncharacterized. The transcript is spliced from 2 exons. The record is from RefSeq and is a predicted model, not a curated record. NCBI's taxonomy places the organism in Eukaryota, Metazoa, Chordata, Actinopteri, Pomacentridae.